UUCGCUUGUAUUACAAAAACAUGUCUUUUUGUUUAAAAUUUAAAGUCUAACCUGCCCACUGAUUUAAAUUAAAGGGCCGCGGUAUUUUGACUGUGCAAAGGUAGCAUAAUCAUUUGUCUCUUAAUUGGAGGCUGGAAUGAAUGGUUGAAUGAAAUAUUAACUGUCUCAUUUUUAAAAUUAUAAAAAUUUAGCUUUUAAGUCAAAAGGCUUAAAUAUAUUUAGAGGACGAGAAGACCCUAUAGAUCUUUAUAAUUAUUAGUAUUUUAUAAAAUAGAAUUAUAUUAAGUAAAAUAUUAUAUAUUAUUUUAUUGGGGUGAUAGGAAAAUUUAAUAAACUUUUUUUAAUACUAAACAUUUAUUUAUGAACAAUUGAUCCAUUUUUAGUGAUUAUAAGAUUAAGUUACCUUAGGGAUAACAGCGUAAUUUUUUUAGAGAGUUCAUAUCGAUAAAAAAGAUUGCGACCUCGAUGUUGAAUUAAAGGUUAUUUCUAGAUGUAGCAGUUUAGAGUUUAGGUCUGUUCGACCUUUGAAUCUUUACAUGAUCUGAGUCCAAAC
Molecule: ribosomal RNA, 553 nt
Filed under: Plesiochrysa brasiliensis
Lineage: Eukaryota; Metazoa; Arthropoda; Insecta; Neuroptera; Chrysopidae
Description: partial 16S ribosomal RNA
Rfam family: Bacterial large subunit ribosomal RNA
Source: RNAcentral